This 268-nucleotide ribosomal RNA is filed under the name uncultured prokaryote. RNAcentral describes it as "partial 16S ribosomal RNA". It matches the Rfam family "Bacterial small subunit ribosomal RNA", at positions 524 to 791 of the family's 1533-position model. The record is from RNAcentral.
UACGUAGGUGGCGAGCGUUGUCCGGAUUUACUGGGCGUAAAGGGAGCGUAGGCGGACUUUUAAGUGAGAUGUGAAAUACCCGGGCUCAACUUGGGUGCUGCAUUUCAAACUGGAAGUCUAGAGUGCAGGAGAGGAGAAUGGAAUUCCUAGUGUAGCGGUGAAAUGCGUAGAGAUUAGGAAGAACACCAGUGGCGAAGGCGAUUCUCUGGUCUGUAACUGACGCUGAGGCGCGAAAGCGUGGGUAGCAAACAGGAUUAGAUACCCCGUA